GACUGCCUCCUCAAGUGGGUCCCCCCAAGUAGCCUAACUGGGAGGCACCUCACAGUAGGCGCCAACUGACACCUCAUAUGGCCGGAUGCCCCUCUGAGACAAAGCUUCCAGAGGAAGGAUCAGGCAGCAACAUGUGCCAUUCUGCAAUAUUCACUGUUCUGCAGCCUCCACUGGUGGUGAUACCUAGGCAAACAGGGUCUCAAGUGGACCUCCAGCAAACUCCAACAGACCUGCAGUUGAGGGUCCUAACUGUUAGAAGGAAAACUAAAAAACAGAAAGGACAUCCACACCAAAACCCCAUCUGUACGUCACCAUCAUCAAAGACCAAAGGUAGAUAAAACCACAAAGAUGGGGAGAAACCAGAGCAGAAAAGCUGAAAAUUCUAAAAAUUAGGCACCUUUUCUCCUCCAAAGGAAAGCAGCUCCUCACCAGCAACGGAACAAAGCUGGACAGAGAAUGACUUUGACAAGUAGAGAGAAGAAGGCUUCAGACGAUCAGUAAUAACAAACUUCUCCAAGCUAAAGGAGGAUGUUCGAACCCAUCGCAAAGAAGCUAAAAACCUUGAAAAAAGAUUAGACGAAUGGCUAACUAGAAUAAACAGCAUAGAGAAGACCUUAAAUGACCUGAUGGAGCUGAAAACCAUGGCAUAAGAACUACGUGACACAUGCACAAGCUUCAGUAGCUGAUUUGAUCAAGUGGAAGAAAGGGUAUCAGUGAUUGAAGAUCAAAUGAAUGAAACGAAGUGAGAAGUUUACAGAAAAAAGAGGAAAAAGAUCAUGUGCAGAGACACACAUAGGCUCAAAAUAAAGGGAAGGAGGAAGAUCUACCAAGCAAAUGGAAAACAAAAAAAAAGCAGGGGCUGCAAUCCUAGUCUCUGAUAAAACAGACUUUAAACCAACAAAGAUCAAAAGAGACAAAGAAGGCCAUUACAUAAUGGUAAAGGGAUCAAUUCAACAAGAAGAGA
RNAcentral lists this long non-coding RNA (964 nucleotides) under Pan troglodytes (chimpanzee). Its description in RNAcentral is "long non-coding RNA NONPTRT002897". Lineage: Eukaryota; Metazoa; Chordata; Mammalia; Primates; Hominidae. The record is from RNAcentral.